Sorex fumeus (smoky shrew) is the source of this 211-nucleotide small nucleolar RNA. RefSeq annotates it as small nucleolar RNA U3. The transcript has a single exon. Lineage: Eukaryota; Metazoa; Chordata; Mammalia; Eulipotyphla; Soricidae. The record is from RefSeq and is a predicted model, not a curated record.
AAGACUAUACUUUCAGGGAUCAUUUCUCUGUUGGUUACUAGAAAAAUUUCUCAGAUUGUGUAGGGCACCCGGAACCAUGAGGAGGAGCCCGAGCACCCUCUCCUGAGUGUGAACCCAGUUCGAGGUGUUGCUUUUGCAACUGCCUUUUUUCAUUGAUGAUUCUUCUAAUUCCUUCAGAAGAAUGAGAGGGAAAACAUGCAAUCUGAGUGGU